GGAAGAGCCCAAGAUUGAAAGCUGGCGUCUUCGGCGUCCGCAUUGUAAUCUCAAGAAGUGUUUUCCGCUUCGGACCAUGCCUAAGUCCCUUGGAAAAGGGCAUCAUAGAGGGUGAUAAUCCCGUACAUGGCAUGGAGCGCCCGAAGCUUUGUGAUACGCUUUCUACGAGUCGAGUUGUUUGGGAAUGCAGCUCAAAAUGGGUGGUAAAUGCCAUCUAAGGCUAAAUAUUGGGGAGAGACCGAUAGCGAACAAGUACAGUGAUGGAAAGAUGAAAAGAACUUUGAAAAGAGAGUUAAACAGUACGUGAAAUUGCCAAAAGGGAAGGGUAGGAGGUCAGAGAUGCGUCUUGGGAUUCAGCCUUGCUUUUGCAUGGUGUUUUUCCCAAGUUGCAGGCCAACGUCGGUUUUGGGCACUGGAGAAGGGUAGGAGGAACGUGGCACCUCUCGGGGUGUGUUAUAGCCUCCUACUGGAUACAGCGACCGAGACCGAGGAACGCAGCGUACUCGUAAGAGCGGGCCUUUUGGCACCUUUACGCUUAGGGCGUUGGCAUAAUGGCCCUCUACCACCCGUCUUGAA
RNAcentral lists this ribosomal RNA (576 nucleotides) under uncultured Pseudozyma. RNAcentral's name for it is "LSU rRNA". It matches the Rfam family "Eukaryotic large subunit ribosomal RNA", at positions 101 to 658 of the family's 3401-position model. Lineage: Eukaryota; Fungi; Basidiomycota; Ustilaginomycetes; Ustilaginales; Ustilaginaceae. The record is from RNAcentral.